RNAcentral lists this long non-coding RNA (426 nucleotides) under Amborella trichopoda. RNAcentral's name for it is "long non-coding RNA (ATRI_LNC004026)". Lineage: Eukaryota; Viridiplantae; Streptophyta; Magnoliopsida; Amborellales; Amborellaceae. The record is from RNAcentral.
UUAAAACUUGAAAUCCAUUUUUUUCUCAUAUAUGUAUAUCUUGAUGUCGAGAUGAUCAAUUUGAGGAUAUUUGAGCAUCAAAACAAACUACUCUAGUGAAAUUUUUGAGGUAGGCUCUAAUUUGAUUGUUUAGAGCAGGGCUCUAUAUAAACUUUUCCAGAGUGAGGUUUGUAUAGAGCCGGGGUUCUAAACAAUCGAUGUAGAGCACACCUUCAAAUAAUGUCGAUAAAUGUGGUUUCAAUAUUAGAAAUCUUUGCAAUAGCUUUAAAAUAUAUUUUCAUCUCUAAUUAUAAAAUUUAAAUCCUAAAAAAUAGUGUAGAUGGAGCAGAUAUAUGAAAACUUGAAAAUCUUGAAAAUUGAUGGUCUAAAAAUACAUUACAUGAUGCACUAUUUUCAAAACUUGAAAUCCGUUUUUUUCUCAUGCCC